Molecule: ribosomal RNA, 117 nt
Filed under: Danio rerio (zebrafish)
Lineage: Eukaryota; Metazoa; Chordata; Actinopteri; Cypriniformes; Danionidae
Source: RNAcentral
AGCCACAGCCAUGUCACCCUGCAGCCCAAGACUGGUUACUCACUGAAGCUAAGCAGGGCUGAGCCUGGUUAGUACCUGGAUGGGAGACCACUAGGGAACACUAGGUUGCUGUUGGAA